Long non-coding RNA from Clupea harengus (Atlantic herring), 2085 nucleotides. RefSeq lists it as uncharacterized. Lineage: Eukaryota; Metazoa; Chordata; Actinopteri; Clupeiformes; Clupeidae. The transcript has 2 exons. The record is from RefSeq and is a predicted model, not a curated record.
GUUUUAUACCUGCUAGGGUGCUCAUAUCUACUAGGGUACGUCAUAGACGCCAUUUUGUCUGUCGCGGUUUGACGUAUCGACUCCUCAUUCGUUAACCUCUGCUCGCGGAGUUCAAGGGCAUAGCUGUUGAAUAUAUGCCUAAAUGUAAAAUGCCUAAUAUAAAAAGGACCUGAUCGCGUUAAUGCUGACGGUCAACUAUAUUGGUAAACCGUAGUAAUAAUACCCGAAGCACCGUUGUGGUCAAGUAAGGUCCACGUUUGUGUAGCGGCAAAUAACAGUCACACUGUGAUUGAAGUUUUUUUUUUAUCGUUUUGUUUGCCAUGGAUUGGUUAGUUAGUUUAGCUAACGGAAGCUACCCAAGCUUACGCUAGCCACCUCCACCCACACACACACACACACACAUUUGACGAUCGUAUCCAAGCUGUUAUUGAAUAAACUUCAACUUCAACGACUACUUAACACGUACGACCUCCUGUAAAGGUUUACCUACAGAGAGGCACACCUAGGAACCAAAGCAACCAAAGCAACAUCCAUGGACCCACACCUGGCAUACUAAGCACCUGAAGAGCCAACACAAAGCCGAUCAGGACAUGCCCCCCACUUUACUCCGCUCUUCCCCCUCACUAUGGCUCCCUUAAAGUAUCCCUUAGAACAGGCAUGCAAUUGUUAACACAUUUAAUACCCAUUUGUUUACAUAUUUACUACAAACAUGUUCCUACCUAAACUGACAUGUAAAAGAAGGGAUCCUUGGAACUGGGGUACUCUUCUUUUUGCUGGACCACUGGUCAGGAACUACCAUGCUUACUGUUUCAGCAAUAGUGAGGUUAUGGCUGCAAUAUCAGUGGUACACUGCUCUACGGUGUCCUCGACAUCGCCCACACGGAGGAGUGUAAAUGGCAGAGACUAUGCUGCUGAGGUAAAUGUCCCUGUGAUCCUGAUUUUCAUUACAAUAUUAUGUCUGGUCCACUGUUUUAAUAUUGUCGCUCGGCCAACCUGUGCUUUUAUGGAUCCUGGGGUUAGGGCUGGCCCUGAUAGUGUUGUUGCCCUAGCCUAGACUUUACAUUUGCCCCCCCCCCCCCCCCCAAACUAUGACACACUAUGCUCUACCUCCAAAUGAUGAUACUGAUCUCACUUCUAUUGAAUACUAAGAUACUAAUUUAUAUUAAUUGAUGUUUGCAUGCUCGUCCAUGAAACAUGACCUGUUGUAUUUCAUUUGAUAGCUAUAUCAAUGUUCAGAAAGGGUAUGGGGUGGUAGUAGAGUAGUUCAGUAAGAGGAUGACGGUAGUGCCAAGUAUCCCUUCCUUUUCACAUUUGAAUUUCAGGAGGACAUAAAAAUGUUUUUAGACGAUUGUGUGUUUGCACAAGGCCUCACAGCUGCGAGCAGAUUUUUGAAAUCAACCCAUGGUAAGGAGGAGUGCAGUGAAGCAAGGGAUCCUGAGUAAUUGUUGGUUCAUGACCUCAGCAUACAGAGACCCUCCACUUGAAGACCUAACUUCCUGCAAUCACCCGACACUAAAUGUCUUACAUUGAAAUAAAAGAUAAAACAACUCUGUACACUGUCAUAGUUCUGCAAUGUUUAUAUGUGUAUUUUUUUUUUCAAAUGUAAUGUAAGCCAAGUUGCAUUGAAACAGAGGUGGUGACAUGGUUCUGUGCAAAAGUUUUAGGCAGGUGUGAAAAAAUGCUGUAAAUCAUCAAGUCUGUCUAGGAUUACAUGAAGAGACAGAAGGAUUUGAGGAAGCCUACAUCCAAGAAGAUCUGUGGUUAGUUCUCCAAGAUGUUUGGAACAACGUACCAGCUAAGUUCCUUCAAAAACUGUGUGCUAGUGUACCUAGAAGAAUCACACCACAUAUUGAUUUGAUCUAGAUUUCUCUUCUGUUCAUUCACUGCAUUUUAUUAAUUGAUGAAAAAAUUAACACUUCCAUUUUGAAAGCAUUCUUAGUUUACAGCAUUUGUUUCACACCUGCCUGAAACUUUUGCACAGUACUGUAUAUCAGAGACAGUUUAAUUAUCAAAGAAAAUUAAUUGAUAUUGGAGAAAGUAUUGAUGGCAUACGUGUUGUAAAUAAACCAAGUGUUUCGACAUUCA